This 268-nucleotide long non-coding RNA is filed under the name Panax ginseng (ginseng). Its description in RNAcentral is "long non-coding RNA (PGIN_LNC006769)". Lineage: Eukaryota; Viridiplantae; Streptophyta; Magnoliopsida; Apiales; Araliaceae. The record is from RNAcentral.
UAAUUCUCACGCCUGAGCUAUCCCCCGACGGAACCGCCGUCAAGCUUUCGGUGUUGACUGUGUUUACUGUGCAGGAUCAGGACGUCUUACGUGAUUGGGACGUGGAGAAAGAUCUUGGCGUUAACAUUGGCGCUAGAAGGAGGGCCUUUUUUCUAGUGUUUUUGAGUUAUCAAUCACAAUAUUUCCAGUUGUUCUACAUCGGAAGUUACGGCACAGAUCAAGGGGUUCUCGUUCGAGAUCCCAUGGCGAAGCCCGAAGAUAGUUGGUC